This 37-nucleotide ribosomal RNA is filed under the name Lactarius semisanguifluus. RNAcentral describes it as "partial 28S ribosomal RNA". The record is from RNAcentral. Lineage: Eukaryota; Fungi; Basidiomycota; Agaricomycetes; Russulales; Russulaceae.
UGACCUCAAAUCGGGUGAAACUACCCGCUGAACUUAA